This is a non-coding RNA of Escherichia coli str. K-12 substr. MG1655, 79 nucleotides long. The record is from Rfam. NCBI's taxonomy places the organism in Bacteria, Pseudomonadati, Pseudomonadota, Gammaproteobacteria, Enterobacterales, Enterobacteriaceae.
GACCGGAAACGGUGUUCACGCCGCAUCCGGCAUUCGGUGCUCAAUGCCUGAUGCGACGCUUACCGCGUCUUAUCAGGCC